AAACAUCUCUAGUAGAAAAUAUUUUUGGUUUUCCCUGCUCUAUGCUGUAAAUAGCUGCAGUAUAUUGACUGUACAAAGGUAGCAUAAUCACUAGCUUUUUAAUUGAAAGCUUGUAUGAAUGGGAGAACGUAAAAUUAUUAUUUAAAAUUUGAACUUGAUUUUUAAGUUAAAAAGCUUAGUUUUAUUAAAGGGACGAGAAGACCCUAUAGAAUUUAAAGAUUUUUUUGUUGGGGUAACGAAUUAUAACAUUCUUUUAUCAUUGAUAAAUGUAAAAUGAUCUUUAAUUAGAUUAUAAGAAUAAAUUACCUUAGGGAUAACAGCAUAAUUUUUUUUGAAAGGUCUUAUUAAUGAAAAAGAUUAUGACCUCGAUGUUGAAUUAAUUUUAAUUAGGCGCAGAAGUUAAUUA
RNAcentral lists this ribosomal RNA (406 nucleotides) under Aphalara jungsukae. Its description in RNAcentral is "partial 16S ribosomal RNA". The record is from RNAcentral. Lineage: Eukaryota; Metazoa; Arthropoda; Insecta; Hemiptera; Aphalaridae.